CAGAAUAUAGCUUAACCCAUAAAGCACUCAGCUUACACCUGAAAAAUGUCCAUCAAAACAAGACUAUUCUGA
This 72-nucleotide transfer RNA is filed under the name Malacochersus tornieri. RNAcentral describes it as "tRNA-Val". It matches the Rfam family "tRNA". From Rfam's summary of the family: Transfer RNA (tRNA) molecules are approximately 80 nucleotides in length. Their secondary structure includes four short double-helical elements and three loops (D, anti-codon, and T loops). The record is from RNAcentral. Lineage: Eukaryota; Metazoa; Chordata; Testudines; Testudinidae.